UACGUAGGGUGCAAGCGUUGUCCGGAAUUAUUGGGCGUAAAGAGCUCGUAGGCGGUUUGUUGCGUCGGCUGUGAAAACCUGAGGCUCAACCUCAGGCCUGCAGUCGAUACGAGCAGACUAGAGUGUUGCAGGGGAGACUGGAAUUCCUGGUGUAGCGGUGAAAUGCGCAGAUAUCAGGAGGAACACCAGUGGCGAAGGCGCCGCUCUGGGCCGUGACUGACGCUGAGGAGCGAAAGCGUGGGUAGCAAACAGG
This 253-nucleotide ribosomal RNA is filed under the name uncultured bacterium. RNAcentral's name for it is "partial 16S ribosomal RNA". It matches the Rfam family "Bacterial small subunit ribosomal RNA", at positions 524 to 776 of the family's 1533-position model. The record is from RNAcentral.